This is a long non-coding RNA of Varroa destructor (honeybee mite), 1753 nucleotides long. NCBI's taxonomy places the organism in Eukaryota, Metazoa, Arthropoda, Arachnida, Mesostigmata, Varroidae. The record is from RefSeq and is a predicted model, not a curated record.
GGGAAGGAGUUGGUGAGCGCCUUCUCGAGGCCAAGUGAUCGAUGGGCGAUCCGAUAGCGCCCACUGCGGCUGUACUCUUGUCAAUGGCAUGGAUGGUGAUAAAAUUCCUUCGAGUAGAUGUCGACAAUCUACGGCACGUAUCAAUGGAAUAUUACGUCCUAUGUAUUUCCGUCACCAUAAUUAUAUGAAGACGAAGUAUAAAGUGAAUAAGUUGCAUUUGUAGUUGUACUAAUGCAUAAUCAUUUGGCGGCGGCAAGAAAACAGCGGAGCCGAAUUUCCAAGAGACUAGCAAGUUGAAAACGGACGAAAAAGUAGGCCAAGUUGUACGAAAAAGGGUCGCGGUGCAGCGUCUGUCACAGAAUGUGGAUUACCGAUAACUACUUGAGGCCUGGAUCAUAGGUUGGAACGUCACCAACAACAAUACGUGUUCACGGCUGAUCACAUAAGCGCAUAUUUGUGCUGGUCAGGCCUAGCUCAAUAGUGUUCAAGCCCACUAAUCGACCCAGAAAAGUGGGAAGAGUUGAAGGCUCGUGUAUUUAAACGACUUGGAUGGUAAGCACCACUUUCAACGUCAGAAUAUUAUGUGCGAGUCCGUAGAGAUGACGAGAACCUAUACGCAGAAGAGACAUCGUGUUGGAGCGUGUCAGAUCAGCGCGAAGGUCAAGGUAUUCCUAAAAAAAACAAAGAGUCACGUCUGCGUGACAACUUUGUAAUUUCCUUACUGCAAUAUCGCUACUUGAAGAAGUUGCAGCUGCCUCGUUUGACGUUGCAACCAUGUUCUGUCGCUCCGGGAAAGCGGAUGAGCACGCAAGCAUUCAAGAAACUGUACAGCAGACAUGGAAACGCCUCUAAAUCGGUCUCAAAACAGGAAGAUGAUGGUUUGGUGUGAAUGUUGCCAAAGUCCAAAGCCUAGGACGUUAAACACCCCUAUUUGAGGAUCCACUCCCAUUCCCAGGAACUUGCAAUUAGACAAUCUGCUGGGAAGAAUGUCUGGGCGCGUACGCGCAAGGAUCAACGAAGGUUAAUAUGUCGUGAUCGAUUUCUCUGCGUAGAAGCACUUCGAGACCAAGAUUUCCGUCUCUUCAGAAACUCUUUCUGUAGCUCUCGCAGUACUACUUGUCGCUAGCGUUUGUUGCACCAGCGCGUCCCGGAGAAUAUCAUCACAUAUAGUAUGUACUUCUUCCAAGUCUCAAUUCGAGCAUCCCUUAGUGUAGCAACGGUCUGUUGGUCAGUGAGAACACGCGAGGGACGACUGGCUAUGUUGAAUGUUCUUGGCAUCAGCGGCAGAGGCGAUUGUGAUAUACUGUACUAAGUUCUUCAGUACAAUAUAGGCCGGUGAGGAUUAAGAACCGGCUAUGAAUUUCAACUAACUGGUCAACUGAAAGAAGCUGUUCAGGCUCUGCCCGUCGUCAUUUGGCACGCACAUCUUACUUGAUCGAUGCCACUCCGUUGCUUGGAACGGCAGGCAUGCAGACAAUGGUAAUAAGUUGCGGUUCGCUCUCUCGUUUGCUACAAACGCACCUCGGCCUAGUGAAAUCAGUGAGGCAGAUUUCGGUUCAACCAAUGGCUGCUUCACACGAGACAAAGGAAAUACCCUGCUAAGAGUCGGCUUCUUCAGGGACAGGAACUAGAGAAACUACUGUAGCUUCCUGCGGCGAAAGUAGAAAGAUAUAUUGACGAAGUUCUAGUGAGCCCACUGUAGAAGAUAUGUGCCAAAUUCAAACUUUUUGUUAAUACAUUGAAUAAUACGAUC